CACAGGGGAGUGUUUUGCCGCCCCUCUCCGAUCUCCCUUGCGCCAACACUGUGCCCUAGUUCAUCACUGCCGGCCCACUCUGCAUUUGAUUCCUUGUUGUGCUGCCAUCACCGGACAAGAGGAGGUUAGUGCAAGUGGAUUUCCAGCCACUCACCUUGUUCCAGUAGUAAACACACUUCUUGAUUGAGGAUCAAUCACGGCUGUAAAUUGAGGACUUUGACGCGAGACGAGUAUCUCGGAGUCAAAUUUGGACAUUUUCGA
Zingiber officinale is the source of this 261-nucleotide long non-coding RNA. RefSeq lists it as uncharacterized. The transcript is spliced from 3 exons. Lineage: Eukaryota; Viridiplantae; Streptophyta; Magnoliopsida; Zingiberales; Zingiberaceae. The record is from RefSeq and is a predicted model, not a curated record.